This 780-nucleotide long non-coding RNA is filed under the name Amborella trichopoda. Its description in RNAcentral is "long non-coding RNA (ATRI_LNC000641)". Lineage: Eukaryota; Viridiplantae; Streptophyta; Magnoliopsida; Amborellales; Amborellaceae. The record is from RNAcentral.
UGAACAUCAUCUGAUAUACGUGGCUUGGCGAUAAUAAGAUAAAGUACCACUUUGUCACAUUGCUUUCUAGGCUGUAGGAUUGGUAGUUGAUCGCCAUCUGAUGCAAAAAGUAUGACCUUAAGCUUUCUUCGCUUAUCAACCAGUUAUAUCAGCUAAAUGAGAAAUGAGCUCUCCAGAUAUAUGCCUUAGGUACCUGAUGACUCACUAUAAUGCCUCAAGAAGAUCUGGUACUCCCAAGUCCAAGAAUUAUGAGAAAACUCAUAUCCUUCAUCUGCAUCAUAUGCCAAAAUUCGAUUCACUUGAAUAAUGCUUGCAUCAUCACACUCAAAACUUUAUCCUCCCCAUAAACAAGCAAUAUAGCUAUCUCACCUAAUGAAAGUGAAAUGUCUCGUUAUGGGCAUAGUUUUUGGAAGCGGGAGCUAUUUAUGAAUUGAAAGUGGGGAAUCACGAGGCUAGAAGCUUCCUACGGUUAGGAAGUGCCAUCCAGACAAUGCAUAUCUUACAAAUCAAGAUUCUUAACUUUUGGAACUUGCUCCCUCAACUACUUGGAACUGAGCUAGAAAUAACUAAGUAACGAGAUCCACAAGGCCAAAGGUUCGAGGUUCUAGAGUAUGCUUAACCAAGAAUCCCUUAGUACUGGAAUCAAUGUAAUGAGUAUGCUUAGCCAAGGUAUCCUAGUAUUGGAAUCGAGGCCGACUGCCCUAAACAUCGAGACCCCUAAAUAGUUGUAUUCAAUAUAUCAAUUUUGGGUUUCGCAUAAGGUAUUGUAUCUCAUAACAG